GGUGGCUCAGUGGUAGAGCGCUCGCCUUGCAUGCCAAAGGCCCUGGGUUCGAUUCCUCAGCACCA
RNAcentral lists this transfer RNA (65 nucleotides) under Dipodomys ordii (Ord's kangaroo rat). It matches the Rfam family "tRNA". Rfam says of the family: Transfer RNA (tRNA) molecules are approximately 80 nucleotides in length. Lineage: Eukaryota; Metazoa; Chordata; Mammalia; Rodentia; Heteromyidae. The record is from Rfam by way of RNAcentral.